GGAGCAGGAAGUGAGACAGAGAAGGGAAGUCAGCCCACUGCAGGAGGUGUUUUCAGUCUGUUACCGUGGAGGGCAGUGGGGCUCAGCUCUACAGGAAGCCCUGGGAGGCAGGGUAGAGUGCAUGUCUCAAGGUUUACCCCAGCCAGAGAGGAUUGCUGCAUCGUCAGCCACCAACUCCAGUCGUGGCUGAGAGCCCAUCCUGGGGCGUUUGGCGUGUCUAGCCGGUGCUACAGGCAGCACAGCGGACUCCAGUGGCCAGGAAACAGGGCCUCAACUUGUUAUGAUUCAUGGAUGAAACAGGACCCAGAGGGAGACAAAGGAGUUAGCGUUCAGUGGUUGAUGCUCAGGAAGCAGGAAGAGCUCUCAAGGAAGCCCCCUUCAGAACGAGAAUGGCAGAAGGCAAGGAUUUGUGCUUGCCAGAGCUGGGCUUUGUGGAUAUGUGAAAGGGCCUUCUAAGCUCCACUAAGUUUCUCUUAAAGUAUUGGGAAAACUCAGUGGUGUCCCACUGGAAGUCAUGGUGUGGGGACAUGCACUUCAUGUCACACGGUGGCGAAGGCAGGGGCAGGACCCUUUCUGGGCUCCAGGAAAGGAGCUAUGGGUGGGGGGAUGAGAACUGAAGAGUCCAGACUUGCUCCCUUGUUUCCCUCUUGGUCAAAAUACUGGGGGUGGGGGAUGUGUGUACCGGAUGGGACAGGUUUGGAAACUCCAGAGCGGAUGGGAACACCUUGCCGUGAGCUGGGGAGGAGGCCAAGCCCUCCUCGGAGAGUGGCCUGCACCUCCAGGGAGAGGUCAUGACUAAGUAAAAAUGAUGGUGAGGCUUGGUUGUGUUGAAAGGCCCUGAGAUUUCCCUGCCCAGCCCUGCUCCAGCCUCCCAUGGGCCCUGUAGGACUUGGAGGAGAUCCAGGAACAUGCCUGUGGCCCCUAGAGAGUGGCAGGGAGGGGGCUGAGAGGAGCAUGCCAGCUAGGGGAUCACUGUGAGGUCAGGCAAGGGGACUCCCUGACCUCAUCCCUGACAGGAGCUGAGAAGUGGGCAGUGAAGUGUCAGGGGCCAGGUUGAGAGAACGGCUGAACCUCUUUUAAGGGCCUGUAGCCCCGUGACCGUUCAGACUGUAGCCCCAGUCGCCGGGCCUGGCUCAGCCUGGGAGGGACUGAGAUUGGGCUUGGCAACAGCAUCUCACUCAUUGGUCUGGCAUCUCCUGUUUGCAUCCAGAUGACCUCUCCUCACCGCACUAAUUUCCCGCAAGCUACUGGGGUCAGUACCAGUUCCCGGUAAUGACUGAUGUGGACAACAGCCUGAGACCCCGUCAGCUCUUUCUUCAGCACCGAGGCAAGUCAAUGGGCAAACCCUGGCCAUUUUUUGCCAGAGGGCCAGCUGGAGAGUGGGCAGCCUCGGUGCUAUCGUGGGCAGUCCCAAUAUCACUUUCCUUUUCCUUUCUGAUCAAACUAACAAAUCCUU
This 1456-nucleotide long non-coding RNA is filed under the name Felis catus (domestic cat). Its description in RNAcentral is "lncRNA (ENSFCAG00000040572.2)". The record is from RNAcentral. Lineage: Eukaryota; Metazoa; Chordata; Mammalia; Carnivora; Felidae.